Molecule: long non-coding RNA, 376 nt
Organism: Astyanax mexicanus (Mexican tetra)
Lineage: Eukaryota; Metazoa; Chordata; Actinopteri; Characiformes; Acestrorhamphidae
Exons: 3
Source: RefSeq, a predicted model, not a curated record
GAGCUGUAUAACUGUGGUCAUGGAAGUGAUUGAAACCUGAAUACAGUGAUUUGGAUGGGGCAUUCUCACAUGAAGGAGUCCUCGCUGGAUCUGGGCCAGGCCACGUAGCACAGAGUCCUCUUGGGUAAUUUUCUGAUGGUGGAGAAGAAACACAGGGGGAAGGCCAGGACAACCGCCAGCACCCAGAUAAACACGAUCACCACUUUAGUAGCCGUGGCCGACAGGUGGCAGUUGGCUGGAUCUUCCUGUUUUUUUUUUUUGUCCCUCGGGCCAUAAGACUGUUCAAUGCCUCUCAGCACAGAAAACUAAAGACUCUCUGACACUUUUUCACUCUGGCAACUCCGGCCACACCAUGGACACACCCCCAUCCAUGGAC